UGGUGUUCCAGGCAUCUGGGCUCUGAUGCCCCUGAGCUGUGGUGACAGCCCUCGAGGGGCCAAAGGUGGCCAAGCACAGUUCUGGAAGGGUGUGACUGAGCCUGUGUUGGGAGGGGUGGUAAUCACCAGAGCUGGAAGAGAAAGAGGCAAGGGUUGCUGUCAUUGGGAUUUGGAUGGGUUGAAAGAGCCAUCCAGCAACACUGCCCGAAAGAAAUUGAAUGAUGCCGACAACCGCGUAAGUGAUCUUUGAAGUAACUCCUUCCCAAUCGAACCUUCAGAUGAGAUGAACUUUCAAGUAAUACGAGAUCAAGAUUGCAGCCUUGUGAGAGAUCCUGAAGCAGGGGACUCAGCUAAGAAGAGUUAUAUGUGGUUACAUGUGACCAGUGCCAACCCGAGGUAUAUUCAGAGCCCCUGGCUUUCUAGUUGGCAGAAACAAACAUCCAUGUGGCCAACAUUGUAGUACGUACCUUCCUUUAUGAAGCUGAAAGACUCCCAAGAAACAGACGUGAUUAGAAAUUACCUCCUCAAGAAACCAUCAAAACACUGUUCACCUCAUGAACAUUCCAUUUAUCUCCUGAUCUAGCUGAGGUGGCCGGUGUUUCGUUCCUUGAUCGUGCUACCCUCUCUCUCCCAGGAUGGGCCACACCUACCCCCAGCCUCUCUUGUUUAUUCCUUAGUAUCAUGGAAGAGGUCUUUUACAAGCGGACUCAAACACUUCAGCAGAGGAAUACUGUUGUGUUUCUCAGAAGAACUGCUCGCAUCAGACCACGGGUCACCAGGGCAGGACUUGCCACGGGCCCCAUCUCACCGUCAAUUUCCAUUGCACAUUCCUGACCGUGCACUGAAUAUUUUACUAAAGACAAGCAUCCAGAACACUAUGCCUGCACGAUAAAGGCUCUCCCCCACCAGCUUCAGAAAUGAGUGACAAGAAUUUUAUUAGUCAAGGAGAUGUCUAUUGAAGCAAUGCAACAGUGAUUUUAUUGCUGCUUAAGUGGAAAGCUUUAUUGUGUACAUCUUUGUUUGCUUUUAAUCAUUCUGUGGCACUCCGAUGGGUGGUAUAGAAAUGUAAAGAUAAUGUUCUUGAAAGUCUCCUGUGAUUGUUUGAAAACAUAAAGGAAUAAAACUUAAUUAA
Long non-coding RNA from Leopardus geoffroyi (Geoffroy's cat), 1132 nucleotides. RefSeq lists it as uncharacterized. The record is from RefSeq and is a predicted model, not a curated record. The transcript has 3 exons. Lineage: Eukaryota; Metazoa; Chordata; Mammalia; Carnivora; Felidae.